GACGAACGCUGGCGGCGUGCUUAACACAUGCAAGUCGAACGGAAAGGCCCUGCUUUUGUGGGGUGCUCGAGUGGCGAACGGGUGAGUAACACGUGAGUAACCUGCCCUUGACUUUGGGAUAACUUCAGGAAACUGGGGCUAAUACCGGAUAGGAGCUCCUGCUGCAUGGUGGGGGUUGGAAAGUUUCGGCGGUUGGGGAUGGACUCGCGGCUUAUCAGCUUGUUGGUGGGGUAGUGGCUUACCAAGGCUUUGACGGGUAGCCGGCCUGAGAGGGUGACCGGCCACAUUGGGACUGAGAUACGGCCCAGACUCCUACGGGAGGCAGCAGUGGGGAAUAUUGCACAAUGGGCGGAAGCCUGAUGCAGCAACGCCGCGUGCGGGAUGACGGCCUUCGGGUUGUAAACCGCUUUCGCCUGUGACGAAGCGUGAGUGACGGUAAUGGGUAAAGAAGCACCGGCUAACUACGUGCCAGCAGCCGCGGUGAUACGUAGGGUGCGAGCGUUGUCCGGAUUUAUUGGGCGUAAAGGGCUCGUAGGUGGUUGAUCGCGUCGGAAGUGUAAUCUUGGGGCUUAACCCUGAGCGUGCUUUCGAUACGGGUUGACUUGAGGAAGGUAGGGGAGAAUGGAAUUCCUGGUGGAGCGGUGGAAUGCGCAGAUAUCAGGAGGAACACCAGUGGCGAAGGCGGUUCUCUGGGCCUUUCCUGACGCUGAGGAGCGAAAGCGUGGGGAGCGAACAGGCUUAGAUACCCUGGUAGUCCACGCUGUAAACGGUGGGUACUAGGUGUGGGGUCCAUUCCACGGGUUCCGUGCCGUAGCUAACGCUUUAAGUACCCCGCCUGGGGAGUACGGCCGCAAGGCUAAAACUCAAAGGAAUUGACGGGGCCCCGCACAAGCGGCGGAGCAUGCGGAUUAAUUCGAUGCAACGCGUAGAACCUUACCUGGGUUUGACAUGGAUCGGGAGUGCUCAGAGAUGGGUGUGCCUCUUUUGGGGUCGGUUCACAGGUGGUGCAUGGCUGUCGUCAGCUCGUGUCGUGAGAUGUUGGGUUAAGUCCCGCAACGAGCGCAACCCUUGUUCACUGUUGCCAGCACGUUAUGGUGGGGACUCAGUGGAGACCGCCGGGGUCAACUCGGAGGAAGGUGGGGAUGACGUCAAGUCAUCAUGCCCCUUAUGUCCAGGGCUUCACGCAUGCUACAAUGGCUGGUACAGAGAGUGGCGAGCCUGUGAGGGUGAGCGAAUCUCGGAAAGCCGGUCUCAGUUCGGAUUGGGGUCUGCAACUUGACCUCAUGAAGUCGGAGUCGCUAGUAAUCGCAGAUCAGCAACGCUGCGGUGAAUACGUUCCCGGGGCU
This 1346-nucleotide ribosomal RNA is filed under the name uncultured bacterium. RNAcentral describes it as "partial 16S ribosomal RNA". It matches the Rfam family "Bacterial small subunit ribosomal RNA", at positions 28 to 1381 of the family's 1533-position model. The record is from RNAcentral.